This 253-nucleotide ribosomal RNA is filed under the name uncultured bacterium. RNAcentral describes it as "partial 16S ribosomal RNA". It matches the Rfam family "Bacterial small subunit ribosomal RNA", at positions 524 to 776 of the family's 1533-position model. The record is from RNAcentral.
UACGUAGGGUGCAAGCGUUGUCCGGAAUUAUUGGGCGUAAAAAGCUCGUAGGCGGUUUGUCGCGUCUGCUGUGAAACGCGGGGCUCAACUCCGCGCCUGCAGUGGGUACGGGCAGACUAGAGUGGCAGUAGGGGAGACUGGAAUUCCUGGUGUAGCGGUGGAAUGCGCAGAUAUCAGGAGGAACACCGGUGGCGAAGGCGGGUCUCUGGGCAGUAACUGACGCUGAGGAGCGAAAGCGUGGGGAGCGAACAGG